AAUCAACGCUGGCGGCGUGCCUAACACAUGCAAGUCGAACGCGAAAGUCCCGCAAGGGAUGAGUAGAGUGGCAAACGGGUGAGUAACACGUGGGUGACCUGCCUUCGAGCGGGGGAUAACGUCCCGAAAGGGACGCUAAUACCGCAUAACAUCCUGCCUUUGAAGAGGCGGUGAUCAAAGCUGGGGAUCGCAAGACCUAGCACUUGAAGAGGGGCCCGCGCCCGAUUAGCUAGUUGGUGGGGUAAUGGCCCACCAAGGCAACGAUCGGUAGCCGGCCUGAGAGGGCGGACGGCCACACUGGGACUGAGACACGGCCCAGACUCCUACGGGAGGCAGCAGGUGGGGAAUUGUUCGCAAGUGGGCGCAAGCCUGACGACGCAACGCCGCGUGGAGGAUGAAGAUC
Molecule: ribosomal RNA, 403 nt
Filed under: uncultured bacterium
Lineage: Bacteria
Description: bacterial SSU rRNA
Rfam family: Bacterial small subunit ribosomal RNA
Source: RNAcentral